This 351-nucleotide ribosomal RNA is filed under the name uncultured bacterium. RNAcentral describes it as "bacterial SSU rRNA". It matches the Rfam family "Bacterial small subunit ribosomal RNA", at positions 527 to 881 of the family's 1533-position model. The record is from RNAcentral.
GGGGGAUGCGAGCGUUAUCCGGAUUUAUUGGGUUUAAAGGGCGCGUAGGCGGGACGGCAAGUCAGCGGUAAAAGACUGCAGCUAAACUGUAGCACGCCGUUGAAACUGUCGACCUGGAGACGAGACGAGGGAGGCGGAACAAGUGAAGUAGCGGUGAAAUGCAUAGAUAUCACUUGGAACCCCGAUAGCGAAGGCAGCUUCCCAGGCUCGGUCUGACGCUGAUGCGCGAGAGCGUGGGUAGCGAACAGGAUUAGAUACCCUGGUAGUCCACGCCGUAAACGAUGUUCACUGGAUCUUGGCGAUACUCGGCCAGGGUUUAAGCGAAAGUAUUAAGUGAGCCACCUGGGGAGU